UAGCCGAGACUAUGAUCGUAACAAGACAUAUAGAGGCAGAGGUGCUAACAGGUACGACAGACGAGUUAAUUUUCGAGGUAGGUCUCCUGCGGAAGUUAGAAAUCGUGGUGCAUAUGCUAAUGCAAUUUGUAAUUAUUGCAAAAAACGAGGUCAUCUGAGAAGAGACUGUUUCAGUUUAAAGAAUAGGAACUCGGUGCACCAUGUAGAGAAGGGUGACAAAGACACCAGCUAUGAUUUCAAGAGACAAGGUGGACAGGACAGCUCGGGCGAUGAAACAGAUGGAAUGGAAUGCUUGAUGAUUUCUGCUAUUAAGAAGUUAAAUGAACCGUGCAUGAUCAAAACAAGGGUGCAAAACUGUUUUUUGAAAAUGGAAAUAGAUUCUGGCUCUGCGGUUUCUGUUAUAAGUGAAACUGAUUGUAGGAAAUUUUUCAAAGAUAUUUUGAUGCGUAGCUCUAGUAGACAGCUAAUUGUUGUUGAUGGUGCUCGGUUAAGGAUUCUUGGAGAAAUUUCUGUGCAAGUAGAGCUUAACAGUAUAGUGGCACAACAAAAACUUGUUGUUUUAAAAUGCAACAACAAUUUUGUUCCCUUGAUUGGAAGGUCAUGGCUGGACUGUUUCUUCCCUGGGUGGCGUUCUAAUUUUACUAAUGCUGCAGUGGUGAAUAGCUUGAAUGAAAAGAAAGGCUAUGAGGGGGAACUGAUACUAAAAAAAGAACAACCUAUUUUCAAGAAGGCCUAUACGGUACCCUACAAAUUGAAGGACAAACUGUCGCAACAUUUGCAGAUGCUGGAGCAACAGAAGAACGACGAUCAUGGCCCACAGAAACCAGUUGAAGAUGGCUCAUUCUCCGAUUCGAGGCACGAUGAUGUUACUCCCAGAAAUCAACCGAAGGAAGCGCAGUCGUGCUGAAUACGACGAAACCGCAUACCACGGGUUUCCAGGAUCCGAGGACGAUGAAGAGCCAUUUAUGGGGUUCCCAGAUUCAGCCAUUAUUGACCCGAAUCCAACUGAAUUGAAGCGACAGAAACAGAGUGAUAGCCUGAUCAUGACCAGGAGUCGAGCUCGAAAAAUGAACAACAAUGAUCGCGAUCUGAACUUUUAAAAAGAAACAUGC
Long non-coding RNA from Armigeres subalbatus, 1112 nucleotides. RefSeq lists it as uncharacterized. The record is from RefSeq and is a predicted model, not a curated record. The transcript has 3 exons. NCBI's taxonomy places the organism in Eukaryota, Metazoa, Arthropoda, Insecta, Diptera, Culicidae.